GGUUGCGAUCAUACCAGCACUAAUGCACCGGAUCCCAUCAGAACUCCCCAGUUAAGCGUGCUUAGGCGAGAGUAGUACUAGGAUGGGUGACCCCCUGGGAAGUCCUCGUGUUGCAACCCC
This 120-nucleotide ribosomal RNA is filed under the name Helianthus annuus (common sunflower). Lineage: Eukaryota; Viridiplantae; Streptophyta; Magnoliopsida; Asterales; Asteraceae. The record is from RNAcentral.